This 498-nucleotide ribosomal RNA is filed under the name uncultured bacterium. RNAcentral's name for it is "partial 16S ribosomal RNA". It matches the Rfam family "Bacterial small subunit ribosomal RNA", at positions 30 to 523 of the family's 1533-position model. The record is from RNAcentral.
AUUGAACGCUGGCGGCAUGCCUUACACAUGCAAGUCGAACGGUAACAGGUCUUCGGAUGCUGACGAGUGGCGAACGGGUGAGUAAUACAUCGGAACGUGCCUAGUAGUGGGGGAUAACUACUCGAAAGAGUGGCUAAUACCGCAUGAGAUCUACGGAUGAAAGCAGGGGAUCGCAAGACCUUGUGCUACUAGAGCGGCCGAUGGCAGAUUAGGUAGUUGGUGGGAUAAAAGCUUACCAAGCCGACGAUCUGUAGCUGGUCUGAGAGGACGAUCGGGCACACUGGGACUGAGAACCGGCCCAGACUCCUACGGGAGGCAGCAGUGGGGAAUUUUGGACAAUGGGCGAAAGCCUGAUCCAGCAAUGCCGCGUGCAGGAUGAAGGCCUUCGGGUUGUAAACUGCUUUUGUACGGAACGAAAAGCCCCGGGUUAAUACCCUGGGGUCAUGACGGUACCGUAAGAAUAAGCACCGGCUAACUACGUGCCAGCCGCCGCAGUAA